Molecule: ribosomal RNA, 253 nt
Filed under: uncultured bacterium
Lineage: Bacteria
Description: partial 16S ribosomal RNA
Rfam family: Bacterial small subunit ribosomal RNA
Source: RNAcentral
UACGUAGGAGACGAGCGUUGUCCGGAAUUACUGGGCGUAAAGCGCGUGUAGGCGGAUGGGCAAGUCUGCUGUGAAAGCUCCUGGCUUAACCGGGAGUGGUCGGUGGAAACUGCCAAUCUGGAGGACGGUAGAGGUAGGUAGAAUUCCCGGUGUAGUGGUGAAAUGCGUAGAGAUCGGGAGGAAUACCUGUGGCGAAGGCGGCACUCUGGGCCGGAACUGACGCUGAGGAGCGAAAGCGUGGGGAGCGAACAGG